GACGAACGCUGGCGGCGUGCUUAACACAUGCAAGUCGAACGGAAAGGCCCUGCUUUUGUUGGGUGCUCGAGUGGCGAACGGGUGAGUAACACGUGUGUAACCUGCCCUUGACUUUGGGAUAACUUUAGGGAACUGGGGCUAAUACCGGAUAGGAGCUCCUGCUGCAUGGUGGGGGUUGGAAAGUUUCGGCGGUUGGGGAUCGACUCGCGGCUUAUCAGCUUGUUGGUGUGGUAGUGGCUUACCAAGGCUUUGACGGGUAGCCGGCCUGAGAGGGUUACCGGCGACAAUGGGACUGAGAGACGGCGCAGACGCCUACGGGAGGCAGCAGUGGGGAAUAUUGCACAAUGGGCGGAAGCCUGAUGCAGAAACGCCGCGUGCGGGAUGACGGGUUUCGGGUUGUAAACCGCUGUCGACUGUGACGAAGCGUGAGUGACGGUAAUGGGUAAAGAAGCACCGGCUAACUACGUG
This 468-nucleotide ribosomal RNA is filed under the name uncultured bacterium. RNAcentral describes it as "partial 16S ribosomal RNA". It matches the Rfam family "Bacterial small subunit ribosomal RNA", at positions 28 to 507 of the family's 1533-position model. The record is from RNAcentral.